AGAGCGAACGCUGGCGGCAGGCCUAACACAUGCAAGUCGAACGGGCCCUUCGGGGUUAGUGGCGGACGGGUGAGUAACACGUGGGAACGUGCCUUUAGGUUCGGAAUAGCUCCUGGAAAACGGGUGGUAAUGCCGAAUGUGCCCUUCGGGGGAAAGAUUUAUCGCCUUUAGAGCGGCCCGCGUCUGAUUAGCUUGUUGGUGAGGUAAUGGCUCACCAAGGCUACGAUCAGUAGCUGGUCUGAGAGGAUGACCAGCCACAUUGGGACUGAGACACGGCCCAAACUACCUACGGGAGGCAGCAGUGGGGGAAGUACUUUGCGCAAAUGGGCGAAAGACCUGACGCAGCCAUGCGCGUGUAUGAUGAAGGUCUUAGGAUGUAAAAUAACUUUCUACCGUAGAAGAAUAAUAGACUGUAGCCGGACGAAAGAAAGACCCGGCCGUAACUUACGUGCCACG
This 456-nucleotide ribosomal RNA is filed under the name uncultured soil bacterium. RNAcentral's name for it is "bacterial SSU rRNA". It matches the Rfam family "Bacterial small subunit ribosomal RNA", at positions 26 to 512 of the family's 1533-position model. The record is from RNAcentral.